UGUUAAUGAUGGAACUGUGCGA
This 22-nucleotide non-coding RNA is filed under the name Arabidopsis thaliana (thale cress). Lineage: Eukaryota; Viridiplantae; Streptophyta; Magnoliopsida; Brassicales; Brassicaceae. The record is from RNAcentral.